CAUCCUGUUAAGUCAGGCAACGAGCGAGACCCACGCCCACAGUUGCCAGCGUACUCUCUGGAGUGACGGGUACACUGUGGGACCGCCGCUGCUAAAGCGGAGGAAGGAAUGGGCAACGGUAGGUCAGUAUGCCCCGAAUAUCCCGGGCUACACGCGAGCUACAAUGGUUGGUACAAUGGGUAUCUACCCCGAAAGGGGACGGGAAUCUCCUAAAACCAAUCUUAGUUCGGAUUGAGGGCUGCAACUCGCCCUCAUGGAGCUGGAAUCCGUAGUAAUCGCGUUUCAACAGAACGCGGUGAAUACGUCCCUGCUCCUU
Molecule: ribosomal RNA, 316 nt
Filed under: uncultured Methanosaeta sp.
Lineage: Archaea; Methanobacteriati; Methanobacteriota; Methanomicrobia; Methanotrichales; Methanotrichaceae
Description: bacterial SSU rRNA
Rfam family: Archaeal small subunit ribosomal RNA
Source: RNAcentral